Molecule: ribosomal RNA, 404 nt
Filed under: Actinomycetes bacterium
Lineage: Bacteria; Bacillati; Actinomycetota; Actinomycetes
Description: Actinobacteria bacterium partial 16S ribosomal RNA
Rfam family: Bacterial small subunit ribosomal RNA
Source: RNAcentral
UGGGGAAUAUUGGACAAUGGGCGCAAGCCUGAUCCAGCCAUGCCGCGUGAGUGAUGAAGGCCCUAGGGUUGUAAAGCUCUUUCACCGGUGAAGAUAAUGACGGUAACCGGAGAAGAAGCCCCGGCUAACUUCGUGCCAGCAGCCGCGGUAAUACGAAGGGGGCUAGCGUUGUUCGGAUUUACUGGGCGUAAAGCGCACGUAGGCGGACUAUUAAGUCAGGGGUGAAAUCCCGGGGCUCAACCCCGGAACUGCCUUUGAUACUGGUAGUCUUGAGGUCGAGAGAGGUGAGUGGAAUUCCGAGUGUAGAGGUGAAAAUCGUAGAUAUUCGGAGGAACACCAGUGGGGAAGGCGGCUCACUGGCUCGAUACUGACGCUGAGGUGCGAAAGCGUGGGGAGCAAACAGG